Long non-coding RNA from Rhododendron vialii, 606 nucleotides. RefSeq lists it as uncharacterized. The record is from RefSeq and is a predicted model, not a curated record. The transcript is spliced from 3 exons. NCBI's taxonomy places the organism in Eukaryota, Viridiplantae, Streptophyta, Magnoliopsida, Ericales, Ericaceae.
CACACUCUCAUUCCUUCCAACGUCCUAUCUCUCUCACUCCUCUCAAGAAAAAAAAUCAAGAAGUUUCCCCCCAUCUUCUGCUUCUAGGUUUUGAUUCUAGGGUUCAAUCAAGUUCUUGGAGCAAGAUUCAAUCUCAAAUCCAUCUCUCACCCAAGUGUUUGAAGCUCUCUCAAUCCAUGGUUUAAACCUAAAAGAUGAUUUGGUGAUCAAGCGAAGGAUACAAGGGAUACAAGUUGAUGUUUAGUUGAAGUGCAAAGAAAGGUGAUGAAGUACAAUAGCUUAUAGGUGCAAUGUUUUGUGCAAAUUUGGGCUUCAUGGAAUCGUUUUGCAUAUAGAAUGGAAGUAGAAAGACGACUUAUAUUUUUGGACAUGUUUUGUACUUGCUUCUCUUUUGAUCAAGGAUGUAUAUAAUUUUUGCAAAGUGAUGUACGUAAGCUAUGUAAUUUAGGGAAGGCUUUGGAAGUUCAUGCUAAUGUAAUUAUGAUAUCAUGAAAGUUAUCAAUGUAUGGAUACUCUAGACCAAAUGGGUUGUGCUCAGUUUUGCUUAAACUUGUUUAUGGUUACUUUUAUCAAUAGACCCCAUAAAUUUAAGUGAAGUUUUCUUAA